GGAAGAAUAAGCCUAAUGGUAAGGCAGUAGUCUUGAAAACUACCAGUAAUCAUGUAAAAAUGGUGUGAGAGUUCGAGUCUCUCUUCUUCCU
Molecule: transfer RNA, 91 nt
Filed under: Crassvirales sp.
Lineage: Duplodnaviria; Heunggongvirae; Uroviricota; Caudoviricetes; Crassvirales
Description: tRNA-Ser
Rfam family: tRNA
About the family: Transfer RNA (tRNA) molecules are approximately 80 nucleotides in length.
Source: RNAcentral